RNAcentral lists this unclassified non-coding RNA (237 nucleotides) under uncultured Sordariomycetes. RNAcentral's name for it is "sequence contains ITS2". The stretch from base 1 to 52 matches the Rfam family "5.8S ribosomal RNA", at positions 103 to 154 of the family's 154-position model. Lineage: Eukaryota; Fungi; Ascomycota; Sordariomycetes. The record is from RNAcentral.
AACGCACAUUGCGCCCGCCAGUAUCCUGGCGGGCAUGCCUGUUCGAGCGUCAUUUCAACCCUCAGGCCCCGCCUGGUGUUGGGGACCUGCGCCUCGCAGCCCCCCAAAGACAGCGGCGGUCGCGUGUAGGCUCCCAGCGUAGUACUCUCUCUCGCUGCGGGUGCCGCGCGCCGGCCGGCCGGAACCUCUUUUUACAUGGUUGACCUCGGAUCAGGUAGGAAUACCCGCUGAACUUAA